Molecule: long non-coding RNA, 219 nt
Filed under: Ricinus communis (castor bean)
Lineage: Eukaryota; Viridiplantae; Streptophyta; Magnoliopsida; Malpighiales; Euphorbiaceae
Description: long non-coding RNA (RCOM_LNC001608)
Source: RNAcentral
AAAAAGUGCCGAGAAUGAAUUCUGGUUUUCAGCACGGUCUUGGUAGUUUAGCACGCCCCGUGAGCACACCCGUGCUUAUCAACACGAGCGUGUUGUGGGCAACCAAACCGUGUUGAGAGAAAAAUUAGACUUCAUUACAUUUUUCGAGAGCGACACGAGCUAUGAACAUGUAUGUGUCAUGUAACAUGCCUAUAUUGAGGGCACCCACACCAUGUUGAU